GACGGAGGGUGCUAGCGUUGUUCGGAAUUACUGGGCGUAAAGGGCGCGUAGGCGGCCGCUCAAGUCGGGUGUGAAAGCCCGGGGCUCAACCCCGGAACUGCACUCGAGACUGGGUGGCUGGAGAUCGGAAGAGGAGAGUGGAACACCCAGUGUAGAGGUGAAAUUCGUAGAUAUUGGGUAGAACACCGGUGGCGAAAGCGGCUCUCUGGUCCGAUUCUGACGCUGAGGCGCGAAAGCGUGGGGAGCAAACAGG
Molecule: ribosomal RNA, 253 nt
Filed under: uncultured bacterium
Lineage: Bacteria
Description: partial 16S ribosomal RNA
Rfam family: Bacterial small subunit ribosomal RNA
Source: RNAcentral